RNAcentral lists this ribosomal RNA (497 nucleotides) under uncultured bacterium. Its description in RNAcentral is "partial 16S ribosomal RNA". It matches the Rfam family "Bacterial small subunit ribosomal RNA", at positions 28 to 507 of the family's 1533-position model. The record is from RNAcentral.
GAUGAACGCUGGCGGCGUGCCUAAUACAUGCAAGUCGAGCGAACAGACGAGGAGCUUGCUCCUCUGACGUUAGCGGCGGACGGGUGAGUAACACGUGGAUAACCUACCUAUAAGACUGGGAUAACUUCGGGAAACCGGAGCUAAUACCGGAUAAUAUAUUGAACCGCAUGGUUCAAUAGUGAAAGACGGUUUUGCUGUCACUUAUAGAUGGAUCCGCGCCGCAUUAGCUAGUUGGUAAGGUAACGGCUUACCAAGGCAACGAUGCGUAGCCGACCUGAGAGGGUGAUCGGCCACACUGGAACUGAGACACGGUCCAGACUCCUACGGGAGGCAGCAGUAGGGAAUCUUCCGCAAAGGGCGAAAGCCUGACGGAGCAACGCCGCGUAAGUGAUGAAGGUCUUCGGAUCGUAAAACUCUGUUAUUAGGGAAGAACAAAUGUGUAAGUAACUAUGCACGUCUUGACGGUACCUAAUCAGAAAGCCACGGCUAACUACGUG